AUCGUUCAUCUUUCAAGAGCUUAAUCAAGAGAGACGGAAGUAGGGGAUAACCUGAAGGAACGCGCC
This 66-nucleotide non-coding RNA is filed under the name Xenococcus sp. (in: cyanobacteria). RNAcentral's name for it is "Xenococcus sp. Glutamine-I sequence". It matches the Rfam family "Glutamine riboswitch aptamer (glnA leader)". Lineage: Bacteria; Bacillati; Cyanobacteriota; Cyanophyceae; Pleurocapsales; Xenococcaceae. RNAcentral also lists the same sequence under 1 other name. The record is from RNAcentral.